CUCAUAUUGAGUUGCAUGUUAUGAUGCUUAUGAUGCAGUUUUAUCCUAGAAGAAAAAGGGAAGAAAAAUCUGUCCACAUAUUUAUAAAAAAAUUUCAUAGUCAUUCUCCUCCAUCUGCUAGUUACAGGUGGAGCAUUUGGGGUGAAAUGUGGUAGCCUAGAGGGGGGCUUUGCUGCUUCAUAUGGGGAUGGAUAUAGACUUCAUUUGGGUGCUGCUGACAAAGGUCCUCUAUAUGGCAUGGGUUCUGGUUCUUGGGUUG
Long non-coding RNA from Magnolia sinica, 259 nucleotides. RefSeq lists it as uncharacterized. The record is from RefSeq and is a predicted model, not a curated record. The transcript has 3 exons. NCBI's taxonomy places the organism in Eukaryota, Viridiplantae, Streptophyta, Magnoliopsida, Magnoliales, Magnoliaceae.